Non-coding RNA from Rattus norvegicus (Norway rat), 2897 nucleotides. The record is from RefSeq and is a predicted model, not a curated record. Lineage: Eukaryota; Metazoa; Chordata; Mammalia; Rodentia; Muridae.
GAAAAUGGGGUACUUGGGGGAAAAACAGUUUUAGACUCUGAAAAAUGAAUCAUCUAACCCAGUAGUUGCAGGUGGCUAAAAUCAGUCACUGCUUUGGGCAAACUGGCUGCAUCCAGGGAUUCAAGCUCUGUGAAUGGCUUUGGCCAUUUCUCUUCUCUGGGCAGACUUCCUCCAAGCCACAGAUAUAACUCAGGCAAACCAACUUUACACCCUAGCUCUCGGGGCUCAGGCUGAGCACAGUCCUGUAUCCAGCCACAGCCCGGGUCUUCCAACCAUAGACCCGCAUUAUAGGUGUGCCCAACACAACCCGGAUGGAUUGAACCAAGAGUCUCUGACAAUGAGGGGCAAAAGGUGGUGGCUCAUGGUAUGAUACAAGCUAAGCAUGCGCAAGGCUGUGGGUUCAAAUCUCCAGCUCUUGGAGCAGGGGUGGAGGCAGAAGGGGUGCUGGGUAGAAAAAACUAUAGAUGUCUAUUAUAUAAGAAAAUGUUUUAAUUAAACCAUGAACAUUGAAAAAAGGCUUGAAUAUUCCAUAAUUAUUUACUGUGUUCACUCGAGGAUUUCCUCUUGUGUUUUAUAAAAUGUUCUCCUAAAGCCAAGUGCUUUUAGAUUAAAAAAAUAGUCACAGAGUGAUGAAAUUAGCAAUGUAUAUAACAGAUGCAAAAUUUAUAUUCUGAUAUAAAAGGACUCUGCUUGAGCUCAAGAUGCUCCAGUUUCAGCCUUGUAGGGGCCGAGAUUGUGAGAAAAGAGACCAGCCAUCUCACAGAGAUGUAGGAUGUUUAUACGUCCCAGGUGAUGUGGACAGAUUGGAGAAAGGCUCCUGCCUGUGGUUAUCUCUGUGUGAUGCCUUCAUGGUGGAGAGUGGUGAAGGCCUUGUGGGUGAUGCCCAGGCAUAUGGCCAUCCAGAAAGAAGAGUAGGACCAUCCUGGCCCAGUCUCACAGACACAGCUUGAAUCACAAGCUUGUGACUCAUGAGCACCAGUUCCUCAGCCUGUGAAAUGAAAUAGAAGAGCUCACCAGCACUACGGGCUGGAGGGGUGACAGAAAUGAGAUAGACGUCCCGUCCUCAGGUGUUAGUGUCAGCUCAAACAGCCUGAAAAGGGAGAUUACCAAGAUGCCAUUUCUCACUAGGCAGGCCCACUGUGCUGCCUGUGAGGCUGUUUAUUGUAGCACUAUGUGUAAAGUUAAGCUUUCUCAACAUUUCAAGUGUCUAGUCACAGGAGAGGAAGGAUAGAGUCAUGCUAUUGUGAUGUCAUCUCCAGAUCAUGUCCCAGGGAGAAAACCAAAUUGCGGAAACUGCUAUGCUGCAGUUUAAAUGGGAGAUUUUUCUACAGUUUCUCUAACCGUGUUGUGGUUUUAGGGAUACAGCUCAGAGCCUGUUGUCUACAUCCUUCAUGAUGAGUACUGAACAGGCGACAACUUGGGACUUACAGUGGACAUCUCAGCUAGGGGAGCAUUCUUGUAGACUGAGCCUUCAACCCGUUGGAUCUGAUGCUUGGUGGGUAUCAGGAAGUCCAUAUGACCUGCGAUUUUCCCAGGAGGCACAGCUUAGGCAGAUGACACAGGUCAUUAGUGAAGUAUUUUUGCCAGAUUUACCAUUUACAAGGAAAGCAGGGUGAGUGUACACCAUGGGAUUAUGCCAGAGAAACAGAAAAAUUGAGAAGUCUUCCAGGAUGUGACACACCCUUUUUUUUCAAUAAGUUCAUGGCUACAGUACUUAGUGGUACCCAGCAUAUGUUGGAUGUGGAACUUGUUUAGAUUUGAGCAAACUGGUGGGGGGCGGGUAGUGGGGGAAGGUAAAUUUGAAGAGUGUUUUAUAUUAAUUAUUCAUGUUUAGAGGUGACCUGAUAGUUCAUGUAUACACAAAAGGUUCUAGGUAGGAAAUCGAGCUCAGUGAUAGAACACUUGCCUAGCAUGCAGGGGCCCCUGAGUUCUCCCUCCUCUGGGAGUUCAUGGUGUAAGGAUAAAGCAGUAAGCCUAGCUCUACUUAAAGUCACCCACGAGUGAGAUGUAGAUUGAACAGACGUGUCCUGUGCCAGGAACUGUUGAAGUGGGUUAAUUUAUACAUUGAUUCAUCAUUAAGUUUUUUGUUUUCUGGGUUCUGCAAAACAUCUGGUACCUUUUGUCUGGGUAGGUUUGGGUGCAUAUAAAGAGUGGAUAACAUGGUGCUCGAGCAAUGGCUCAGCGGUUCAGGGCACCCAGUGCCCUCUCACAGGACCUGAGUUUGGUUACCACCACCCACAUACAUGCAGCAUUUACACACAUAGAUACAUAAAGUGUAUAUAAAAAUAGAUCUUUAGUAAAUAGUCAUAUUUUGUGAUUUUAAAUUAAAAAUCAUGAAACCCAGUCAGGUAGGAUGGCCACAUACCUGUAAUCUCAGCACUCCAGACACCUGAGCUACUUCGUAAGAUUCUGGUUUCAAACAAACAGUAACAAAAGACAAAACAAGGCACUCCCCACGCCAAAAGAAACUGCUGAGCUCUUCACGUUUUGGAAGUGAGGGUCUGAGAGCCCUGUUCUAAGUUCCUGUUUCUACUACUCGGGGAGGUGAUGGCCCUGCUUUGCAGUUGCUUGUUUUUCUAUACAUUCUUGCUCAGCAGCACUGUCAGUGGGAUUGGCGGUUGUGGGCUGGGAGCGGUCUGCUGGUGCUGGAGUUGAUUUGUAGUAGCUGGGGGUGUUGUAAUAGACUCACCCUCCUGCUAGCAGGAGACCUACCUCUGCAUGCCGUGGUCAUUACACUGCUUGGUGCGUGCUGCAUUAAUUAUCUAUAAGGGACCCUUUCCACAGGCCACCCUGCCUCUCUUGUCAUGCAUUGGGCCUUGACCAAGCACUGUAAAUGGCUGCUAUGUGAAGCCUAAAGCAGCUGAAUCUCAGUGUACAGUAAAAUGAUUUCACUCGUU